GCUAGAUUUUCACUGGUUACAGAUUGCUGAACGAAUUGCAGCACCUCUGGCCAGCCAUUGCUAGCGAGUUCGUGUUUAAUUACUGUCCCGAUCAGCUGGGCAAUUGAGUUUCGUACGGAUGAUUCAGGUUCACUCAAAAGCCUCUGUGGACCAAACGAGAGAAAUGUCCAGAGAUGAGACCGCUCGACCAUGCAUUAGUUACAUCCAUGGGAUCAUCUUUCGAUUCUCUCCAAAUCGGCACAUGUGGGAUUAUGUGACAUUGCGAUGGAAAGACUGGGAAGCACGUGUUGCUGGGGAAUGGCUCCGGGCUGUGCUCUUCCCGGCAUGGAUAGAGACCAGCGAACCCCUUCUGCUCAUCCCCCGCUUUUCCCCGUCCCCUACGUCGCACGGGAAGCACAGCCUUCCUCAUCGGUUUGAGACAAGACAGUCUUCCAAAGUUUCGACUUCGGCAUCAUUUGCUACACGAGCCACACCAGCUUACCCGGCAGCUAUUUUCGCUCCUCAACACAAGUUUACAUCGUACCUGAUGUAUAACGUAUCAACGGAAAGAAAACUGCACUGGGAGCUUUCAAGAAAUGAUCCUUAUCGAAUGAGAGCAUCACGUCCACUGAUCAACGUGGAGCUAAUCGUUAGUACGGUCGUUCGUUUCAUCGACCUCUUUGUGCGUGAUCUCCAUCCAUGAGAGAAAUCGUUUAUGUCGCAUUACGUGAUAUUGAUUCAAGGAGUAUCGCGUGUCAAGAUAUAAUUGUGCCACAUAUAACCAUCGGACCAUUUCUGCUGUCCGGUGUCGAGAAGAGAUGAAGUUCAUCCUUCUCGCUGCAUUAGGAAGAAGUAUACGAGUGUAAAAGCAAAAAUAGUUCGCAAUUUUCAAUGGUACGAAGCUACCCCGGAACGUGAUGUGAACGGGAGAAAUAAUCCACGGGAUACACUCGAGCUUUUCAAGUGGUUUGAGUGAUCACCUUUUUCGGUAAUCCUCAAACGGACCCCUCGGUUUAUGGCGGACUCGGGAUUCGUAGGACUCGCAUACACGUGCGCUGGUGCAAUAUCGUAAGGACCAACGUAAACAUGGUCCUCCUCCACCGAAUACGCAGACGCCUUCGCAACAUCCCCUCGACGUUUCUUCGAGUGCUAUCGAUGUCUGUCCCGCAAUCUUCGUCCUCAGGAAUGUUCGAGGGUUGCUCUCAAUCUGAAAAUGGAAAACGGGUUCGUGUACGCGAGACUUCGGGGGCAGAGGGGAUAGUCGAGAAUUAUCUCGAGAGCUUUCAACUUUCAAGUGCACCGUGGGGCCACUUCACGAACGCGGACGCUCCGAUUUCCCCGGCUAUACCACGAUGCGCGUAUAAUGGAGACCCGUAAUACGUCAGGGAAUGUCUCGUCGACUCGCAUUUAUACGAUCGCGAGUAUAAGCCUGCGGCCCGAAAAACACGGAGAGAAUGUCUCAGCGGUUCGCGUUACCGUGUGAUAUUCAGGUCAAAAAUUUGGGCGAAGGUCAAAAAUGUCGAGUCUUUACAUUGUCAUGGAUGGGUGGGGCCCUUCCUCGCGGUCAGGGGUCUUUGUUUGAAGCCGCGUUUCAGCAUCCGUUUCCGGUCUUCGUGCAUUCUCCUCUUAUAUUAUAUUUUGCAGCAGAGACACCGACGCGAUUCGUGUGUUGAAAAUUUUUUCAACGAUCGAGUCAGAGAGGUAUACGCACACUGGAACCAUUGUCAAACCAUAUGGACACGUGUCUCGCCUCAAGUGGUUUGCUUACGCCUUAUAUACGCGUUGGUCCUACACAACUUCAGCGCGAAGGGCCACCCGCUGAUCUCAACGUCCCAAAAAAUCUCCCUCCGCUCUUCUUCGGUUUUUCUUUUUUUCUUUUUUAUAUAUUUUUUUUCUUUUUUUUCUGCUUCCAUUAAUCGGUAACCUGCGUCUCUCGAUUUUUCACGAUCGGUAGAAGUUGAAUAGAUAUUUUCAAUCGGCGGUUGGACCUUUUUUUUUUUUUUUCUAUCCAUUUUUAUAAUUCAUCUCGGGGGCAGAAUCUUCUUCCCUUUGGAAGAGGGUACACGUCGCGUACGUCGUACCUCGGCAUGCAAAUCUCAACCGCGCUACAGAGUCACGUCCUACCGCACCUUACAAUAAGGUCCAUUGUUGUGCGUCGAACGUGUACCUGUACACAGAAUCCAUCCACACGUUUGAAGUUAAAACUGCUGAUUGUCAGCCGUGAAUAUGGCGGACUCGGCGAAGCGGCUUUUCAACUUACCGGUUACACACAAUAUUCAAAGGGCUGCAGAAUUUUAAUAAACGAGUAAAUAAUUUUGGUCACGUUCCUGGUAGCGUGUAUAGGAAGGAGGGGGAGAGAGUUUCGGGGUUUUCGUGUGACCUGAGGAAGCUCUCGUCGAGGACCGAACGGCGGGUCACUCUUCAAACAGGAUUAUAUUAAGCUAUUUCACGGUUAAGAAUGGAAUCAAACGGAGGCGUCGAAGAUGUUUUGGUAGGUGGUGUGAACUUACUUAUACUUUACUUCGUGGUACCUUCACUUUUGAAGACCGCAACUUCUGUCGCUGUACACAGUCUCAUUUUUGAGUCCCAAAUUCUUUGACCUUGUACGCCAGUUGACAGGUGAAUAAAGAACGGCGUUAACCCGCGGCGCGCAAACCGAAGAAAAAAGAAAGAGAAAAAGAAAAAAAAACUCGAGAAGGCGCGAGCUCCGUAUAAUUUUUUUUUUGCUUUUUUUUUUCACAUCCGCACACAUCGAAUUCUUUUUUCAUUUUAUUCCCCGAUCGAUCCGCGACGUACUCCGCGUGUUUUCCCACGACCCACUUUAGCUCUUCUUUUCGCGGGGCUUGCCGGGAAAUCCAAAGUUUUCGGCAAAACGUAACGUCGAAAAGAAUUAUCGUCAUCGUACGAACUUUCUCCUCGCGUUUCUUUAUCGCUGGCGCCACGCGGUGCGGGCGAAGCUUUUCGUGGCUUUCGAAGAGGGUAAGAAAUAGGGAGAGUAACAAGAAGAAGAGUGCGGCGUCCGCGACUAUUUCGAGCUCGAGGUGUGAGACGCGUCACUUUCGUCCGCGAUCCUAUACACAUAUACGCAGGUCUUUUGCUACGGCGUAUAGCUUGGAAGCGGUGCGAUCUUUCCUCCGAAAGCUUAAGUGAGAUUCCUUAUACCGGUUUCACGGAUCUUAGUUUUACGUAUAAAACCUGAAGAAUAUCCCGGUUGGACUUCGACGAGGGGCAGGCGGCGAGCUCGAAAUAUCCGCACAGGUCUCACAGCAUCCCCCGAAUCGAAAUCCUCGCGGACCGGGGCCGCACGGGCGCGCCGGUUUCCUCGAAUCGCGAUGGAGGUGAAUUCGAGAGCGUUUAAAAGUCGGUGAGAUGAUGCAAAUUUUUCGGGCGGCAACGUCUACAACUCUUCUACGUACACUGUCGUUUGUCGAAUUAUUUUAACGCCCGAUAUUUCCAUCCGUUCGCGUCAAAAACGCCACGAACUGAUUCUACGCGUCCGCCUUGAAGCGUUGAACGUCGAGACACGCGAGGCUUCGGGCCAAAAUCAACAUAGCUCUGUUGGAGCUCGCCUUUCGCCUCUAGCUCAUAGUAGUAUUAACUCACUAUUUUAUUUUAUUUCGUUUAUUUUUUAUACAAAUCAUCUACUUUUUUUUUCACCCCGGCACGUUAAUGCGCUGCUGCAUUUACGACGGCUUUGUGCUGGAAAAUUACUUCGGCUCUCCUGUGGCGGUAUAAUCGUGGCGAGAUCCCUCCCCCCCCCGAAAAAAUAUGCCAGGAAUUUCGGCACGGGGGUUGAUUUUCCGACCGGGUUGAAGUACGUGGGACUCGAGAGAAGAAGAAUAUUACGAAUUUGGGCUCGUUUGAAGGAGGGAAAACCUUCGGAGGUCCUUCAGGUCCGAGGAAUCUUCUACGAGACCCUUGAGGCCACCAGACAGCUUGGCACCGUUCUCGACGCAGAGUAGGCCGCUCCGAGGUCCUAGAAAAACUGGCCCACCAGAAGAACUCGGAGGACUCGAGUGACUUAUCACCGCGCCACGCAACGCGCUGGUUACGGAGUGAAUCCUGUGUAAAGUUGCUGCUCAAAAACCCCGGAAUUAUCGAGGAACUCCUACGUCGAUUUUCUUUGAAACCAAAAAGAAAAAAAAAAGAAACAAAAAGGGAAGAAAAGUCGUACACCUCUACCGGAAGGUUGUUCAUCGGUAAGAAAGAAAAAUUAAUAUUUCAUCUCCAUUUGAAUAAUGAAUAACGGUAGGAGGUCGGUUACGUGUACGAGGGUCAAGGUUAACCCCGAAGGAAUUUUUAUCCCGUUUCCGCUUCCGGGUUUUCUUAGUCUUGUUUUAUUAUUCUUCUUCUCUCCGCAGACUGUAAUUCUCCAAAGACAGACACAACGUUGCGUAUUUUAUACGUACACGGCGUAGUAUUACUACGUGGUAAGUUUGUGUGUAACUGUAUACAGCGAUAUGUUGAGUCAGGUCGGUGUAUUCCGUGUUAUUUGUAAGUGGCCCCCCACCCCCCUGUUCGCGAGAACGGCGUCGUCGUCUGGUAAUUAAGACAAAGAUUUGUUUAUAGUGGUCCACGAGAACCUCCUAACGCCCAAACGUUCGCCAACCUCAACGUAAUGUUUACUCAAACAAUAGACGCUUAGAGAUAUAUAUCCGCGGGUAUAAAGCAGCCUACGGUAUUACGAAGUCUGUACCCGGGGAGUCGACGACGUCCUUCUCAUCGCUCGCAUUCUUACCCCACUUAACGGGAUCGCGGAAUAUAAAUCCCCUUCCGUUCGCCGAAUUUUCAAAUUUUCACCCACGUCGCAAAGUCUCCCGAUCAUUAUUUUGUUGCACGAUUAUCGCACGUUAUUAAAAAAAAUCCUUUCAGCUGUGCGCUGCGAAAUAAAACGAAAGGAUAACGCGCUGUGAAAUUGUGCGAUCUACGGAAAAUUCUCUCCACGUCAUCAUUCACGGAUCUCACCUCGGAAAAUGGAAGAAGAAAAAAAAAAAGGCUGCAGUCUAGACGAACUUUUGGCCGCGGAGCGGCGUAAUUUUCACAGGAGGAUAUAAUUCUGGGAACGGAUCAUCGAUGCCGUUGGCCACGCCGGGAAUCGCGGGAUUUUUCCGGUUUCCGAAUCGACGGAAAUUUCGCGGCACCGUGCUGCAAGCUUCGGAAAUCUACUCGCGGUAUGCGCGACAGCGGCGAUGCCUCGGCAUUCGGUGGCGGUGAAUGAACCGCGUGUCUCUCGUCGUUUUCGGUUGAGCUCGAGAAGAAAAGGAGAAGAGAGAAGAAAAAAAGAAAAGGAAAAUGAAAAACGAAGGAGAGAAUGAGAGAGAGAGAGAGAGGGGGGGGUAUACCAUAGAAAGAGAGUCAGUUUGGAGCCUGGAUGUUUACGCAAGGAUGAAAUUUAAUUCCAGAAGACCUCCGACCCGCUCCACCAGACAGUGUAAACCUAUCCGAAAGCCGUAUCCGACAGCUAGUCACGGAAAAAGCUUCCCUAUACUGUUCCAAACCUCCGAACAAGUAUAAAAAAAAACAGGAGAAAAGGAAGAAAGGAAGACUACGUGGUGGGUGCACUCGUAAACCGAUGACCGAAACUGCAGUUUUUAUACAGAUGUUUUUCUCCACGUGAGACGGGUACCGAAAAUUUUGGUCGACAGGUCGACGAAAUCCUUUUACCGCAUCAAUGCGACAAGUGCGAGGCACCGUGCAUAAUGGAGCCCAGGAAUUUUGAAAAAAAUUAUUCAUCAUUCUUUGGGAGUAAAGUGCGUCGGAGGUACGACUCUAGGAAUUUUUUCAAUCAUCAAUUACAGUCGAUGUAGGAAUGGUAACUAACAUUAGGCAGUAAAAAGCUCAUUUUUAGGGUCGUGGUCUUAUUUUGACCCCAUGUAAGACGAGGGAUGAUAUAAGCCUGGACAUAAUAUAAGUCUGAACGCGAUAUCUCGAUGAGAUUUAUUACUAGCUUGAUUGAGUGGACAGAUUCGUGUUCCUGAAGUCUUAGAUUCACGUCGAUGCUCUACAUUUUUUCAAAUUUUUGAGCCAAAGAUAUUGUAUUUUGACUUCAGAAAUCCGAAUAUGGAAGAAAAAUUGAUUUAUCUCGCUUUUUCACCGUGACUUUAAGAAUAUCUCUGCGUCAAAAUAUUCGAAUUUAUCAGUCUACGAGCA
Athalia rosae (coleseed sawfly) is the source of this 6129-nucleotide RNA transcript. RefSeq lists it as uncharacterized. NCBI's taxonomy places the organism in Eukaryota, Metazoa, Arthropoda, Insecta, Hymenoptera, Athaliidae. The record is from RefSeq and is a predicted model, not a curated record. The transcript is spliced from 13 exons.